UUCCAAAUGAGGAAGGGCUUAUGGUGGAUACCUAGGCACCCAGAGAUGAGGAAGGGCAUGGUAAGUGACGACAUGCUUCGGGGAGUUGAAAAUGAGCAUAGAUCCGGAGAUUCCUGAGUAGGUUAACCUUUUUAAUUGCUACUUACUCCAUGGGCAGGUAAGAGACAACCUGGAAAAAUGAAACAUCUUAGUAGCCAGAGGAAUAGAAAGCAAAAGCGAUUCUCGUAGUAGCGGCAAGCAAAAUGGGAGCAGCCUAAACAGUGAAAACAGGGUUGUGGGAGAGCACAAUAUAAGAUCUAUGCUGCUAGGAGAAAUGGUUGAGUCUUGCACCCUAGAUGGUGAGAGUCUAGUAGCCAAACCCAUCAUUGGGUUACGCUCUAACCUGAGUAGCAUGGGGCACGUGGAAUCCCAUGUGAAUCAGCAAGGACCACCUUGAAAGGCUAAAUACUCAUGGGUGAUUGAUAGCGAAGUAGUACCAUGAGGGAAAGGUGACAAGAACCCCCAUCGGGGACUGAAAUAGAACAUGAAAUCAUAAGCUCCCAAGAAGUGGGAGGAAAAUGAUAUUUCUGACCGCGUGCCUAUUGAAGAAUGAGCCAGUGACUUAUAGGCAGUGGCUUGUUUAAGGGAACCCACUAGAUCCAUAGCGAGAGAGAGUCUUCAUGGGGCAAUUGUCACUUCUUAUGGACCCAAACCUGGGUGAUCUAUCCAUGACCAAGAUGAAUAUUGGGUGAAACUAAGUGGAGGUCCGAACCAACUAAUGUUGAAAAAUUAGUGGAUGAGUCAUGGUUAGGGGUGAAAUACCACUCGAACCCAGAGCUAGCUGGUUCUCCCCAAAAUGCGUUGAGGUGCAACAGUUGACCAGACCAUCUAGGGGUAAAGCAUUGUUUCGGUACAGGUCGCGAGAGCGGUACCAAAUCGAGGCAAACUCUGAAUACUAGAUUGCCCCAAUAAAAUGGGUAACGGUCAACCAGUGAGACGAUCGGGGAUAAACUUCAUCGUCGAGAGGGAAAAAACCCAUAUCAUCAACUAAUGCCCUUAAAUGACCACUCGGUGAUGAAGGAAGUAUGAGUGCAAAGACAGUUAGGAGGUUUGCCUAGAAGCAUCCAACCUUGAAAGAGUGUGUAAUAGCUCACUGAUCAAAUGCUCUUGCGCCGAAUAUGAACGGGACUAAGUGAUAUGUCGAAGUUGUGGGGUGUAAAAAUACAUCGGUAGGGGAGUGUUCUACCUCAGAGGGAAGCACUGGCAUGAGCAAGUGUGGACAAAGCAGAAGCGAGAAUUUCAUCUUGAGUAACACAAACAUUGGUGAGAAUCCAUUGCCUCGAAAACCUAAGGGUUCCUCUAUAAGGUUCGUCCACGGAGGGUGAGUCAGGGCCUAAGAUCAGGCCGAAAGGCGUAGUCUAUGGACAACAGGUUAAUAUUCUUGUACUAGCCCUUGUUGGUCCUGAGGGACGAAGGAGGCUAGGUUAGCCGGAAGAUGGUUAUCGGUUCAAGGAUGCAAGGUGACCCUCUAUACAUUGAUUCAAAGGUAAAAGAAGAAUCAAAUAUAGGUGUGUACAAGGUGAGGUUGGGGGUGGAUAUUCCUCAUCAUCUACUCUAGCACACAAAAAUCUAACAUGGAUUAUCUAAACAUUAUAGGAUGCACAAAAUCAUGUAGGAGCACCCAUAUCAUCAAUGAGGGUGAGUAUACCUCCUAGGAGAUAUGUUAACCAUAUUGUAUUAGAUUCUUCCAUUUGUGAUCUUUACAAUUGUUUUGAGGAGGUGAUGUGUGAUACUGAUCUAAAAAUAAAGAAGACUUGUAUUAUUGAAAUUAUUUGCAAGAUUUAAAUCAUGUGUUAAAAUGCAAAUGGUUCAACUUUGCAACACAACUUUUAUAUAAAUUACUCAUUCAAGAUGCAUAUAAAAAACAACAAUAAACAGUGAACAAAAAAAAACAUAACACAACAAAUGAUAAAGGAGUUGACCCCUCUCCUGGGAUACAUCUCCCGGUCCAGCUUCCAAUGGAUCUUUUGUAUUAUUU
This is a non-coding RNA of Picea glauca (white spruce), 2017 nucleotides long. The record is from Rfam. NCBI's taxonomy places the organism in Eukaryota, Viridiplantae, Streptophyta, Pinopsida, Pinales, Pinaceae.